CGCGAGCUUCCAAAACUAGCGCAGAAAGGGGAAUCCCCGGUCCUGACGUCACUACACGGGGAAUUCACCCCUGCUACGUCACCCCCGACAACAAAAUGCUUCAGGUUAACGGGACAAAAGUCGCUAAUCAAAGUUUUACAAGAAGAACUCGUCGAUUCAACACUGCGAACAGCCAGCAGUGGAGAGGAAGCACUGGACUUAAUUACAAAUCUGAGUUGCCAGUCCAGGGAUUCAGACCUGCAACCUCCUGGUCACAGUCCUGCCUCUCUGCCUGGCUGCCUCUCUGAUUUAGGCAGAGGUGGAUUGAUAGCGCUCGGCAGAACACUUCAGAGCGCUCUGCGUGUCAAUAUGUGGGUGUAAAGUGAUUGGUGAUGGACGAGGCUCCGAUCAAUAUUCCACGAAUGGAACCAAAUUCAUCAUCCAUGUAAUUUUACUGGCUGAGAGGAACACGCCGUCCCCAAGUAUAGACCAUCCGUCCUGCAGGCAGCUGACAGGACACGUGCUGCUGCAGACACCGACCCGUGACACCUCGGUCACAGGUUCGACUCCCACAGUGGCAACAUCCUGCUGAAGUGUCCUGAGGCAAAGCAUCAAACCUCCACCUGCUCACAAUUAAUAUGUCAAAUAUACUGUCUGCCAAAAAUGUAUCAAGGGCUCUCUGAGUAGACAUUUUUUAUGGUCACAAGGUAAUUUUUAAGGUUUUAUCAAUAUUCCAGUGAGAGAUGCGUCUCUCGAGGCUUCAAGAUCAACCCAACAAUGAUCUGUUAUUUAACUAAUCCAAGAGCGUUUAAAACACACAGACUGUCCGGCCCAGAAAAACAAAGAGCUGCUAACUGGGCCUGUUACGUCUGCUUCCUGUUACGUAUCCUCCCCCGUCCUCCCCGAGAACAACACACAUUUAUACACAUACAGCGUACUGUGGGCUGAACACUGUGGAGCUCCACAAUGUCACUUUUUUUUUUUUUUUAAGAGGCCGGUGUGUUAACUCUGAAGCUUUCGAGCUUGACGGUUCAUUCUUGACCUUGAAAACAGCAGGUGACAAAACAAUCUCCACUCAAGAUCCACUUAGUCACGUGUUCUGGAGCUUUUGACCGCAUGAAACGGACGUUAUCGGCAGGAAAAGUUUGCUCAGUCGUCAUGGAAACAUAGUCGUCAUUGUUCUGAGCACUUUUAGGGACUUCUUGUCUGUGACAACUGAGCAAACUUCACAUGUUGAUGAAGACUGUUGGUUUCACACGGGAAACAAACCCCAGUGUCCCAUGUGAAAGUCCUGAGUGUGACCUCCUCCCAUCUCUAUACACUACGUUCGCCCUUAUUAGUUUGAAAGUCGUGCUGAGUGUCACAAAAAAAAUGGAGAAUAAGUGUCCAUGUACACAAAUCUAUAGAUGACAUUUUGUGACGGUUUCACGAACUGCUGCGAUGCUGGGUUGGAAUACAGCAUAUCUGCAAACAACUGCAGGAAUGAAGCCCAAAGGUUUUGUAGCAGCUGUAGCAGUGGAGUGAGAACUACGAUGCCUGGCUUCAGGAGGGUUUUUACUGAGGUAAAAGAGAAGGCAAUGAUUAAAAAAAGCUGCCAAAGUAAAUGAACCAGAAUCUAAGUCUUAUUCAGAUUAUUUUAACGGCAGAAUCUGGAGUACAAGGUCACCAAAGUUGCAGAAAAACAAUCUCUCUUCUGCAUUUGUUCUUGCACACACUGCUGUUCCAAAGUCAACAGCGUCGCAUUUUGUCAAUUCUGAUUAUGAAAACAAAUGACCCUCUGCUCGCAGGAGGCUGCAUACGAGCUCAUCUGUGACUUCCAAUCGAGGCGUCUUGGGUUUUUGGGCAAUUUACACCAGCAGCUUCCCACACGGACUGUAAAUCAUGUCUGACGUCAUGAAGGAGCAGGCCAGCUUCCACCAGAGCUGCGUUACACAGAAAUACACUGGAAGUGAGAAUGUGCAUUUGUUUAAGCUAAUUUAGUUUCAGUGUCUCCUUUUAUUUUGGCCAGGAAUUAGUCUAGCUGAGCUCAGGUCUAAGAUUUAUAGAGCUCCAGGUUAAAGAAUAGAGAGUGAGGCGUUUACACGUAAAGUAUUUAAAUAAAAAAAUAAAACACAGUCUGUUUGUGGUUGCAAGUAUGUAGGAAUGUGUUUCUAUAAAUGAUGAGCAGUGUGAAGCUGCCUCUAGGACCAAAAUACAAAUUCAGACACUUUGUACGCCCAAAAAUCCACCCAGACCUCCUACAGACAUUAGCUGUAGCCAGCUAGCUAAGUACCGAGUGUGUGUGUGUGAAGUGCAUUUCUGUUCAGCUCACCCUUUGACUAUCUCAGAACUCACUCACCAGAAGCUAUAUUUUGUUUCUGUUCAUGUCUGUUUAUGAAGUAGCUUCAUUGAACUUUGGGAUAAACAUGCGUGUUUUUUUGCUCAAGAUAAAACAUUUUCAUCUUGUCUUAACUUGUAUGUAAUUUUUUUUUUAUGUUCUGAACACACCAUAAGAGGUUUAGUGUCAGUCUAAUGUCGCGCUACUUGCAGAAUCAGUGGCAUCUUUUAAAUCACUUCUCAAAACGUAUCUUUUUAUUAAUGCUAGUUAGGGCAAAAAUCAUAAUCCCGAUUAUUUUGGUCAAUAUUGAGAUCACGAUUAUUUAACACGAUUACUCAUUGACUUAGGAGACAUCAUGCAUUUAUUGAACUUUAAAAAAAAAACUUUUUAGGACUGACCUGCUUAGAAGCUUCUACCGUUGCCAUGGUAAUCUGUAGUAAUCGAAUUUUAUCAACUUUAAACGGCAUCUUAGAGCACAAGAGGAUGAAAGCAACGCGGUGUUUCCCCUGGGUUGACUACCUGGGGGGGCGGAGCAGAGGAGAGACAGGUGAACUAGGCUACUGUUGAGGCAACUCGUUACGUGACAUAAACGCUGAAAUUAACCGUGGAGUUCUGUCGGGAGAUGCAGUCACUUAAAUCAACGGUGUUUGAGUGUUACCUGUUUACUCGGACAGACGGACGGACGGCGUAACCCACAGGGCUCACUACUUUCCUCCAAACUGUGUUCACAAAGAGAACAACAGUUGUCUAGUCUGCUGAGGGCAACAGAGCAUCGACAGAUCAGAGUGACAGUGCAUUUUAAGAACGCCGCCCACCGGAGUAUUUCAUUUUUCUCUCCUGUUUGGACGGUAGGUUGAACUCCAAAUCAAAAGCUACUGCCCUACUAGUGGAAAUGUGAACAUACAACACAAAUCGAGUUUAUACGGUAAA
Molecule: long non-coding RNA, 3226 nt
Organism: Siniperca chuatsi (mandarin fish)
Lineage: Eukaryota; Metazoa; Chordata; Actinopteri; Centrarchiformes; Sinipercidae
Exons: 4
Source: RefSeq, a predicted model, not a curated record